UGCUCCUUUGACGUUAGCGGCGGACGGGUGAGUAACACGUAGGUAACCUACCUAUAAGACUGGGAUAACUUCGGGAAACCGGAGCUAAUACCGGAUAAUAUUUCGAACCGCAUGGUUCGAUAGUGAAAGAUGGCUUUGCUAUCACUUAUAGAUGGACCUGCGCCGUAUUAGCUAGUUGGUAAGGUAACGGCUUACCA
RNAcentral lists this ribosomal RNA (197 nucleotides) under Staphylococcus sp. KT14. RNAcentral describes it as "partial 16S ribosomal RNA". It matches the Rfam family "Bacterial small subunit ribosomal RNA", at positions 79 to 270 of the family's 1533-position model. The record is from RNAcentral. Lineage: Bacteria; Bacillati; Bacillota; Bacilli; Caryophanales; Staphylococcaceae.